This 731-nucleotide ribosomal RNA is filed under the name uncultured bacterium. RNAcentral describes it as "bacterial SSU rRNA". It matches the Rfam family "Bacterial small subunit ribosomal RNA", at positions 134 to 851 of the family's 1533-position model. The record is from RNAcentral.
CAGAAGGGGAUAACACUUGGAAACAGGUGCUAAUACCGUAUAACACUAUUUUCCGCAUGGAAGAAAGUUGAAAGGCGCUUUUGCGUCACUGAUGGAUGGACCCGCGGUGCAUUAGCUAGUUGGUGAGGUAACGGCUCACCAAGGCCACGAUGCAUAGCCGACCUGAGAGGGUGAUCGGCCACACUGGGACUGAGACACGGCCCAGACUCCUACGGGAGGCAGCAGUAGGGAAUCUUCGGCAAUGGACGAAAGUCUGACCGAGCAACGCCGCGUGAGUGAAGAAGGUUUUCGGAUCGUAAAACUCUGUUGUUAGAGAAGAACAAGGAUGAGAGUAGAACGUUCAUCCCUUGACGGUAUCUAACCAGAAAGCCACGGCUAACUACGUGCCAGCAGCCGCGGUAAUACGUAGGUGGCAAGCGUUGUCCGGAUUUAUUGGGCGUAAAGCGAGCGCAGGCGGUUUCUUAAGUCUGAUGUGAAAGCCCCCGGCUCAACCGGGGAGGGUCAUUGGAAACUGGGAGACUUGAGUGCAGAAGAGGAGAGUGGAAUUCCAUGUGUAGCGGUGAAAUGCGUAGAUAUAUGGAGGAACACCAGUGGCGAAGGCGGCUCUCUGGUCUGUAACUGACGCUGAGGCUCGAAAGCGUGGGGAGCGAACAGGAUUAGAUACCCUGGUAGUCCACGCCGUAAACGAUGAGUGCUAAGUGUUGGAGGGUUUCCGCCCUUCAGUGCUGCAG